This is a non-coding RNA of Acanthosepion pharaonis, 106 nucleotides long. Lineage: Eukaryota; Metazoa; Mollusca; Cephalopoda; Sepiida; Sepiidae. The record is from the annotation of a GenBank genome assembly.
UAGUCAUAUCACGUUGAAACACUGUUUCCUGUGCGAUCACCAAAGCUAAGCAAUGUUGGGCCUGGUUAGUACCUAGAUGGAUGACCGCUGGAAUGUCAAAUGCUGU